UGGCCUGCAAAUGUCCAGGGGAGACCACUGACAGUGACCACUGAGGAGAUGUGAGUCUGGCUCAAGCCCCCCGGGCUUGAGUGGCCAUGUCCUCCUUCGUUGCUCAUGGGAAGACUGCCCCCCAUGUGACAGCUGACUUGCAGCAUGUGGUGUGUGUCUGUCACCCUUUGCAGCCUGUCACAGCUUUCCUGAUGCAUUUGGAUGGAAAGUGCUACCCCAUCUGCAACUGACGCAUGUCAGGCCAAUGUAUCUACCACUCUGUGGCAGACCCAAGCUAAAUUAGCGGUUCGCUUCUACGUCUGCUCCCUAAUUAUUGCUGUUUGCAUUUGGUCUGGUGUUUUCCUUGUAUUCGAGAUCAGCUGCAGCUUGUCCAGCUGCUUGGGCUCUCCACUCAGCACACAUUUACCAAGCACCUAGGAGGCACGAGGAACCAUAUCAGGUGCCAGGGAAGAUUCGCUUCAAAGGUCCCAUGAUUCCAGUUCUAAUGUUCCUUCCACAGAGGACUCUGCUCCCUCCAGUCAUCACAUGAAGGCUGGUCACUGAGGGUCGCCUCUCCCCUCCACCCUCUACUCCAUGUGCACCCACUCCCAGGGCCCAGUCUCAUGGCUUCUGCCACCAGCUCUGGGUGGAUGCCUCUGAAAUCUCUAUUUUAGGCCUUGAGUUUGUGCCUAAACUUCCUCUCUCUUCUCCUGGAUGUCUUAUACGUGAUUCCAUAUAAAGUUCAGUGUCUUCCUCCUCAUUUUUUCUGCCACUUCAUCUUAUUCUGCCUCUUCUGGCUUUUGUUUUAUGGAUUCACUUCCCAAUCACCCAGAUUAGAAAACCCUGUCACUGCUUCCUAUAUUCAACAUUCAAUUGGAAACUAACUCCUGUACACGUUACCUCAACUAAAGCAGCUCCAAUCCUCUCCAAACCCUGUCUGCAUUUAAUCCCCAUCAUCUGCUGUGCCAAUGUGGCCCCAACCUCAGCCCUCCUUGAUAUAAAUGCCCCCUUUGAGUGUUACCCAAGGGCAAGGCUGAACACAUCAGAUCUGGGCCCCAACCUGCUAUGUGCCACACCUCUCCCAUGGCACUCACCCUGCCCACAGCACCAAGGUUGUCACCAUCCCUGACAGCCAGUGUGACAUAUCCCCUGACCCCCUGCUGGUGGUGUGCCUGGACUGAGGCUGGUGGUGUGUUGGAUCUGAGGGGCCCAGGGGAGCUCCUUUCAGGCUUGGGCAGGAGUGGGGAGUGCUGCCAGGGCCCAGGGACACAGUGAAGGUCCUGCUGGUGGAGGGGAAGGCAAGACAAAGUGCACAAGACAUCUCUUCCUUGACAAGAACGUCCAUUGUUGGAAUCAUUAUAAACCAGUGGAGCUUUUGUCAGAGAGACAUGAAGUCUGAUAUAAUGAGCUAUCAUCUUGCUUCAGCUGCACUGGGACCCCAGCUGUCCCGUUUUCUUGGAAGUACCAGACCUCUCUAUAAAAGUGAUCAAAACUAAGCCUUCUGCUGUGUCUUAAAAACGUUGUCAAUUGCAUCAUUCUGGGAGCCGCAGAGAGAAAGAAGUCCCUUUGUUCUUCCUUCAUCUUCUGCCAUGAUUGUGAGGCCUCACCAGCCAUGUGAAACUCCUACUCAGUGUGAAGAUGACAAGGAGGAAGACCUUUAUGAUGAUCCACUUCCACUUAACAAAUAGCAGGUAGGGGUCUCAUCCUGAACCCAAGCCUGGCACCUUUGCCUAAUGGGUGAGAACACAACUUUGAAAUCAAGCUUGGCUCAAAUCCGGUUCUGUCGUUUACCACCAUCUUUUCAACUUUGGGCAGUAUACCUGGUAUCUCCAGGCUCGUUUCUUGCUUCUGAAGCUGGGCCAAUAAUACUGAUCCACCGGGGCUGCUAUAAAUACGAGACCACUAAUAAGAAACGCUGACCACAGUGACCACACACAACGGAAACUCAAAAAACGCUGGAUGCUUCCUGCCCAUGAACAUCGGACUCCAAGUUCUUCCACUUUGGGAUUCUUGGCCUUCUACCACAGACUGAAGGCUGCACUGCUGGCUUCCCUACUUUUGAGGUUUUUGGACUCGGAUUGGCUUCGUUGCUCCUCAGCUUGAGGUCAGCCUAUUGUGGGACCUUACCUUGUGAUCGUGUGAGUCAAUACUCCUUAAUAAACUCCCCU
Long non-coding RNA from Homo sapiens (human), 2147 nucleotides. Ensembl annotates it as Helicobacter pylori responsive 1. Its record names the gene HPYR1. NCBI's taxonomy places the organism in Eukaryota, Metazoa, Chordata, Mammalia, Primates, Hominidae. The record is from Ensembl.